AUCAAGAUAGUUAAAAAAUAAUGGGACUUUGAAGAGGUUUAGUUGAGAUAUUAUUCUCUUUUGGUA
Molecule: transfer RNA, 66 nt
Filed under: Ophioplinthus brevirima
Lineage: Eukaryota; Metazoa; Echinodermata; Ophiuroidea; Amphilepidida; Ophiuridae
Description: tRNA-Phe
Source: RNAcentral